CCUACGGGUGGCAGCAGUGGGGAAUAUUGGACAAUGGGGGGAACCCUGAUCCAGCCAUGCCGCGUGUGUGAAGAAGGCCCUCGGGUUGUAAAGCACUUUCAGUGAGGAAGAACGCCUGGUGGUUAAUACCCAUCAGGAAAGACAGCACUCACAGAAGAAGCACCGGCUAACUCCGUGCCAGCAGCCGCGGUAAUACGGAGGGUGCGAGCGUUAAUCGGAAUUACUGGGCGUAAAGCGCGCGUAGGUGGCUUGAUAAGCCGGUUGUGAAAGCCCCGGGCUCAACCUGGGAACGGCAUCCGGAACUGUCGAGCUAGAGUGCAGGAGAGGAGGGUAGAAUUCCCGGUGUAGCGGUGAAAUGCGUAGAGAUCUGGAGGAAUACCAGUGGCGAAGGCGGCCUUCUGGACUGAAACUGACGCUGAGGUGCGAAAGCGUGGGUAGCGAACAGGAUUAGAUACCCCAGUAGUC
RNAcentral lists this ribosomal RNA (465 nucleotides) under Vreelandella stevensii. RNAcentral describes it as "partial 16S ribosomal RNA". It matches the Rfam family "Bacterial small subunit ribosomal RNA", at positions 338 to 795 of the family's 1533-position model. Lineage: Bacteria; Pseudomonadati; Pseudomonadota; Gammaproteobacteria; Oceanospirillales; Halomonadaceae. The record is from RNAcentral.